AAGUCGUAACAAGGUUUCCGUAGGUGAACCUGCGGAAGGAUCAUUAACACUUAAUCAUCCAAAACCUUUGGAUCAACCCAACCUUUAGCGAACCGUUCUUUGGGAACUCUAGCACUUGAGGGCUGUUUCCUUACCCUGAGGGCAAGGUCAGCACUCGAGGAAAAGGGAACCCUUGUCUUUGCCAUUUUACCAUAGUAAACCCAACGAAAUUCUGAUGUAAAGUGUCUGAUUCUAUAUUCUGUUGGUGCUCGAAAGGGCCUAGCGGAAUCAAAAUCUAACGCAAUACAACUCUUAACAACGGAUAUCUUGGCUCUC
RNAcentral lists this unclassified non-coding RNA (315 nucleotides) under fungal sp. RNAcentral's name for it is "partial internal transcribed spacer region". The stretch from base 1 to 46 matches the Rfam family "Eukaryotic small subunit ribosomal RNA", at positions 1786 to 1831 of the family's 1831-position model. Lineage: Eukaryota; Fungi. The record is from RNAcentral.